AUGGGCUCCAGGCUCCUCUGCUGGGUGGUCCUUGGUCUCCUGAGAGCAGGCCCUGCGGAUGCUGAGGUCACUCAAAGCCCCAGACACCUGGUCAAAGCAAGGAGUCAGCCAGUGACCCUGAGAUGCAACUAUGAAUCUGGGCACUUGUAUGUGUACUGGUACCAACAGGCCCUGGGAAAGAGUCUUGACUUCCUUGUUUCAUAUACCAGUGGGGAACAAUAUGAAAAAGGCAGCCUCCCUGAUCACUUCAAAGUCCAACAGUUCAGUAAGGACUCCAGCUCUGAGCUGAGCGUGAGCUCCGUGGAAGUGGCCGACUCUGCCCUGUACCUCUGUGCCAGCAGCCUCACAGCCCUGCCUGCUCAGCUGCCUCCUGCACAAAAACACCCGUGGCCAGCCCAGGAAGUGGCAGUGAGACAAAGAGCUGCCAGCCAGUCACUCUCAGCCUAUACUGAGGAAAGUCUCUCUAUGUUAUCAUACAGGAACCAUAAUCAUGAAGCAGACGAUCUCUCUGAGCUGGACAGAAACUGGAAAGAGAAAGAGCUGGAUGAGCAGCUUGAGUAA
Molecule: non-coding RNA, 561 nt
Organism: Sorex fumeus (smoky shrew)
Lineage: Eukaryota; Metazoa; Chordata; Mammalia; Eulipotyphla; Soricidae
Source: the annotation of a RefSeq genome assembly